GGAACAUUCAUGCACAAAUUUUUGUCUGGACUAUGUUUUUAAUUCUCUUGGGUAAAUACCUAGGAGUAGAAUCGCUGGCUUAUAUGCUAACUCUAUGUUUAACUUUUUGAGGAACUGCCAACUGCUUUCCAAAGCGACAGUGGAGAUUCUGUUUUUUAAGAAUCAGAUCCACGAAUUUUGGAUAUGUCACACGAUUGACUUUUUCUUCCUUUUCAACAGCUACAGAUUUCAAUGAGGACAAUAAAGGAGCAUAAGAUCGAGAGGAGCUGCUAAAGUGUUUCCCACAGUGGCUGAAGCAUUUUACAUUCCCACCUGCGAUGCACAAGAGUUCCAGUUUCUCCACAUUCUUGCCAAUAUUUAUUUUUUGUUUUUUUCUGGAAUUGUUAUAGCCAUUUUUGUUGGCAUAAAGUUGUACCUCAUUGUGGUUUUGAUUGGUAUUAUCCUCAUGACCAAGGAUGCUGAGCAUCUUUUCAUGUGCUUGUUGGACAUUUGUAUGUUUUCUUUGGAGAGAUGUCUCUUCAAAUCCUUUGCCCAUUUUGAAAUUGUGCUGUCUGUUUUCUUAUUGUUGAAUUGUAUGUGUUUUUAAUAUAUUCUGGAUACAGAACCCUACG
This 611-nucleotide long non-coding RNA is filed under the name Homo sapiens (human). Its description in RNAcentral is "HSALNT0042293". The record is from RNAcentral. Lineage: Eukaryota; Metazoa; Chordata; Mammalia; Primates; Hominidae.